UGAUUCUAUGCCCUGCUCACU
This 21-nucleotide non-coding RNA is filed under the name Caenorhabditis elegans. The record is from RNAcentral. Lineage: Eukaryota; Metazoa; Nematoda; Chromadorea; Rhabditida; Rhabditidae.